CCUACGGGAGGCAGCAGUGGGGAAUAUUGCACAAUGGGGGAAACCCUGAUGCAGCGACGCCGCGUGAGUGAAGAAGUAUUUCGGUAUGUAAACCCCUAUUAGUAGGGAAGAAAAUGACGGUACCUGACUAAGAAGCCCCGGCGAACUCCGUGCCAGCAGCCGCGGUAAUACGUAGGGGGCAAGCGUGAUCCGGAUUCACUGGGUGUAAAGGGAGCGUAGGCGGCAGCGCAAGUCUGGAGUGAAAUCCCAUGGCUUAACCAUGGAACUGCAUUGGAAACUGUGCGUCUAGAGUAUGGGAGAGGUAAGCGGAAUUCUUGGUGUAGCGGUGAAAUGCGUAGAUAUUAAGAGGAACACUCGUGGCGAAGGCGGCUUACUGGACUGUAACUGACGUUGAGGCUCGAAAGCGUGGGGAGCAAACAGGAUUAGAUACCCGAGUAGUC
RNAcentral lists this ribosomal RNA (440 nucleotides) under uncultured bacterium. RNAcentral's name for it is "partial 16S ribosomal RNA". It matches the Rfam family "Bacterial small subunit ribosomal RNA", at positions 338 to 795 of the family's 1533-position model. The record is from RNAcentral.